CCUACGGGGGGCAGCAGUGGGGAAUAUUGGGCAAUGGGCGCAAGCCUGACCCAGCAACGCCGCGUGAAGGAAGAAGGCUUUCGGGUUGUAAACUUCUUUUCUCAGGGACGAAGAAAGUGACGGUACCUGAGGAAUAAGCCACGGCUAACUACGUGCCAGCAGCCGCGGUAAUACGUAGGUGGCAAGCGUUAUCCGGAUUUAUUGGGUGUAAAGGGCGUGUAGGCGGGAGCGCAAGUCAGAUGUGAAAACUCAGGGCUCAACCCUGAGCCUGCAUUUGAAACUGUGUUUCUUGAGUGCUGGAGAGGCAAUCGGAAUUCCGUGUGUAGCGGUGAAAUGCGUAGAUAUACGGAGGAACACCAGUGGCGAAGGCGGCCUGCUGGACUGCAACUGACGUUGAGGCCCGAAAGCGUGGGGAGCAAACAGGAUUAGAUACCCUAGUAGUC
Molecule: ribosomal RNA, 443 nt
Filed under: uncultured bacterium
Lineage: Bacteria
Description: partial 16S ribosomal RNA
Rfam family: Bacterial small subunit ribosomal RNA
Source: RNAcentral